RNAcentral lists this ribosomal RNA (253 nucleotides) under uncultured bacterium. RNAcentral's name for it is "partial 16S ribosomal RNA". It matches the Rfam family "Bacterial small subunit ribosomal RNA", at positions 524 to 776 of the family's 1533-position model. The record is from RNAcentral.
UACGGAGGGUGCAAGCGUUAUCCGGAUUUACUGGGUUUAAAGGGUGCGCAGGCGGAUAUGUAAGUCAGUGGUGAAAUCUCCGGGCUUAACCCGGAAACUGCCGAUGAUACUAUAUAUCUUGAAUGCUGUGGAGGUAAGCAGAAUAUGUCAUGUAGCGGUGAAAUGCUUAGAGAUGACAUAGAAUACCUAUUGCGAAGGCAGCUUACUACGCAGAUAUUGACGCUCAUGCACGAAAGCGUGGGGAUCAAACAGG